UGUGCACUCCAGCUCUACUGAUAACAUGACCUCAAGGCCACCAGUCUCAGGGUCUUGUACGGCAUCAGUUAAUUCCAAUCAAAUGCAGACAAUUGCAAGUUCCUCUGCAAACAAACAUAUGGUUACUGAUGGACUAGCUGUAUCAUUGCAAC
Molecule: long non-coding RNA, 152 nt
Organism: Zea mays
Lineage: Eukaryota; Viridiplantae; Streptophyta; Magnoliopsida; Poales; Poaceae
Exons: 3
Source: RefSeq, a predicted model, not a curated record